AUCUCUGUAGAGUCUGCAUAUCAAUAAGCGGAGGAAAAGAAACUAACAAGGAUUCCCCUAGUAACGGCGAGUGAAGCGGGAAGAGCUCAAAUUUGAAAUCUUAAAGGGUUUCCCUUUACGAAUUGUAGUUUAAAGAAGUGUUUUCUGUUGGAGUUUCGGUAAAAGUUCUUUGGAAUAGGACAUCAUAGAGGGUGAGGAUCCCGUAUUUGACCGUUACUUUCCAGCUGUGUGAUACACUUUCAAAGAGUCGGAUUGUUUGGGAAUGCAGUCCAAAAUGGGUGGUAAAUUUCAUCUAAAGCUAAAUACUGGCGAGAGACCGAUAGCGAACAAGUACCGUGAGGGAAAGAUGAAAAGAACUUUGAAAAGAGAGUUAAACAGUACGUGAAAUUGUCAAAAGGGAAGCGUUUGACACCAGUGUUGUUUUCUCGAAAAUCAAUUAAAAAUGGCAUGAUUUUGUGUUGUAUUGACCUUUAUCAAGCUUUCUUCACUUUUUUCCUGUCUAUUUUUAAUGCACUUUUCGUUUAACAAGUCAACAUCAGUUUCUUUUGUUGUAAAAAGGGUCAUUGGAAGGUGGCUUUCUUUUCGGAGAAAGUGUUUAUAGCCUUUGACUUCUGCAAUCGGAGAGAUUGAGGUCUGCAGCGUAGAUCCUUCGGGGUUAGAUGCAUUUGUGCUAAGUUAUAGCCUUUCAUAGACAACUUGUUGACUAUGAUCAGUCAUGUAGCUUACUCGCUUAUGUCAUUUUACCUACGCUUAGGAUGUUGAUCUCUCACAGUCGAGC
RNAcentral lists this ribosomal RNA (778 nucleotides) under uncultured Neocallimastigales. RNAcentral's name for it is "partial large subunit ribosomal RNA". It matches the Rfam family "Eukaryotic large subunit ribosomal RNA", at positions 24 to 645 of the family's 3401-position model. Lineage: Eukaryota; Fungi; Neocallimastigomycota; Neocallimastigomycetes; Neocallimastigales. The record is from RNAcentral.